Pygocentrus nattereri (red-bellied piranha) is the source of this 8293-nucleotide RNA transcript. RefSeq lists it as uncharacterized. The transcript has 7 exons. The record is from RefSeq and is a predicted model, not a curated record. NCBI's taxonomy places the organism in Eukaryota, Metazoa, Chordata, Actinopteri, Characiformes, Serrasalmidae.
GUUACGUUGUUUGUCAGCGGACUUCAUGCCGCAAUUUGUCUGACUGGGUGUUGCAUGGAAGUUAAUAUUACCAAUGGCCAGCACAAGCGACACCUGCAGGCAGGAGUAUACUACACAACAUAUUUCCCCUUUCGUAGAAAAGCAUAUUGUUACCACACAAGAACUGUGUGCUAGAAAUUACAAUAACAUACAUGUAAAGCAUAAACAACAUGUACAAACAGAAUGAGCAAUUUUUUUUCUCAAACAAGCCUUUUCUCUUAAGGAAUUUUUUCUAUUCCUCACUAAGAAGGAACAUAGUCCUUAGCCCAGAAUGGAGCACGACGAACCCUAUGCAAUUGAUUUGUGGCAGAAUGUUCAGAUGGCACAGCACAAGGUGUAUGCACCUCGUGUGGCACGUAAGUGUCCUCAGGCACCGUCAACGUGGAUGGAACAGCAUAGGGCAAAGAUGUAGGGGCGAGGUGAGCAGCAUUCCACACUUUCCCGUCAGAUAGAAGGUAAGUAGCUGGACCACGCUUUGCAACGACUUUAUAAGGCAGACUGAAUUUGGAUUGUCCUUUGCUGACAAUUCCUGGUUUCCUAAUGCGAACAAAAGAAUCCACUUGAAUGCCAGGAGCAGUAGCCACACGACGCUUGUCUGUGUACUCUUUUGCCUUUUGCUGCUUCCUUUGAACUGUCAGCUUCCAGGUCUUUGCGGACUUUGGAGGGGCUACGCCCGGAAGAUCUCGAACAUGAAGUUUUGUGUGCAUCGAGUGGCCGUGUAGCAGUUCAGCAGGAGAACACGUAGUAAUGGUAUGAGGUGUUGCCCUGUAUGUGUGCAGGAAUUCAGUGACAAAGGUUUUCCAUGGCUUACCUUCAAUGGUAGCAGUUUGAAGGCAGUCCUUAAACACUCUGUUGAAUCUUUCAAUUUCCCCAUUGGCUUGAGGAAAGUACACAGAGCUGCGGCAGUGCUUAAUAUGCCUCAUAGCAAGAAAGCUUUCAAACUCAGAAGAGAUGAAUUGCGGACCAUUGUCGGAUACAACUUCACACGGGUUUCCUUCACGGCUGAAUACGACCGAAAGGAAUGUAAUGACUGUGGCAGAAGUAACUUCAGAAGCAAAUGCCACCUCAGGCCAUUUGCUGUAAUAGUCAAUGAGUGUCAUGGCAUAGCGACAGUCAUGAACAGCAUGAUGGAAGGGACCAACAAUGUCAAUGGCUACCUUCUCCCAAGCCGCUGUAGGAAUAGGUACUGGAUGGAGUGGUGCAGUAUGUGUUAUAGCAGUCUUGUCAUGCUGCAGGCAUGUAGUGCAUGUUUUACUGGCAUUUUCCACUUGCAAGUUCAUACCUGGCCACCAGUAGAGGUCUCUUAAGCGCUGUCUAGUCCUAACAAUCCCUUGAUGCGUGUCAUGUGCCAGUUGAAUGAACUUGGGCUGCAAAGUUGCAGGUACUACCACUCGAUGGGUGCCACGAAUGACGUAUCCCUCUUGCACAGCUAGUUCGUCUCGUAAGCGGUAAAAGGGAGUAAGAGCUGAAUCCAUACCUUUAGCAGUACGAGGCCAACCUUUCGUUAUGUAGGCCUUAACCUGGUGCAACACUGGGCACUGAUCAACAGCGUGCUGGAGUUCCUCAGCUGUUACAGCAGCGAACCCUGGCGACACCACUGCAACCAUUUCAGGCUCUUGUUCUUGUUCCUCCUUCAUACAGGGUAAUGGCAAUAACGUGAUAAGCAGUCAGCAGUUACAUUUUCUGUUGCAGGCUUGUAGACAAUGGUGUAAUUAAAACACAGCAAGCGUGCCGACCAUCUAGCAAUUCUCAUACCUGCUCUACCAAGACCUUUUGUAGACAGCAAGGUCGUUAGCGGGUUGUGAUCUGUUUGCAGGGUGAAAUGACGACCCCAAAGGUAGGUGCGCCAUUUUUCUGUAGCCCAAACACAUGCCAAGGCCUCUUUCUCGGUUGCAGAGUAUUUACGCUCACAUUCAGACAGUGUCCUGGUUGCAAAAGCAACCGUCAGUUCAGUGUCUCCAUGCCACUGUGUAAGCACAGCACCUAAGCCAUAAUUUGAGGCAUCUGUUGUGACAGUAGUAGGGCAUGAGGGAUCAAACAAUGCCAGUGCAUGGCUGGUAGAAAUGAUCUGCUUCACACGAGAGAAAUUUUCAUUUGCCUCAUCUGUCCAACAGAAUUCAGUAGAUUUCCGCAGCACAGCACGGAGCGGUUCCACCAAAGUAGCAUAAUUGGGAAUGAACUUAGCAUACCAUCCCGUCAGUCCAAGAAAGGAACGUAGCGCAUGUGCGUCCUGUGGAGGCGGAGCUUGUGUCACAGCCACAACAUGCUCUGGAUCUGGAUGCAGACCAGUAGCUGAAAUGACAUGUCCUAAAAAUGGAAGCUCUGUUUUUCUGAAGGAGCAUUUCUCCCUGUUGAUCUUAAGACCACGGUCUUGCAGACGAUGUAGCACGGCACAAAGUCUCCUUUCAGAUACACCUUUCAUCUCAGGUGUAUCAGCAUGAAUUAUGAUGUCAUCCAGGUAACAUUGAACACCGUCCAAUCCAUCCAAGAUCUGUGACAUCAUUCUCUGAAAUGCACUAGGAGCCGAAGCCAGCCCGUACGGGACCCGUGUAAAACGAAACAGUCCGUCAUGCGUAAUAAACGCUGUAAGGUCUCUACUGUCUUCAUGCAAAGUCACUUGGUGAUAUGCAUUCUGCAAGUCAAUGGUCGAAAACACAGCUGAUCCCCUGAGUUCUGUAAAAACUUCUUCGAUAUGCGGUAACGGGUGGCUAUCUAUCACAACAGCCUUGUUCGGCUCUCUCAGGUCAACACACAACCUGAUUCCUCCCAACUUCUUUUGAAUGACCACUAUGGGUGAGACCCAUUCGGAGGAGUCUACCUUCUCGAUGAUGCCUUCCUUUUCCAGUCUUUUUAACUCUUGUGAGACAGAGUCACGCACAGCAAACGGCAAUCUACACAGCUUUUGUUGCACAGGCGGCACAUCCGAGCGUAGUUUGACUUUGUGUACAAAUCCUUCAGCUACACCACAAGCAUCAGUAAAGUCGACAGCAGCAGUACACCCAGCCGAAGGCAUAACACAUCCAUCUCGUAUUUCAAGUUGCAGCGCAGUGAACAAAUCCAUGCCAAGCAAUGGAGUUCCUUUCUCCACAAUGUAAAAAUCCACUUGUGUACAGUGAGCAGAACAUGUGACACUGAGACUAAUGCACCCAAGCACAGGAAUACGUCUCUUCAUGUAUGUCACCAGACGAACUUUUGGGGUAGAAUGCGGCAAAGUAGAAAAGUAUUGUCUGUAAAUCUGCUCAGGCAGAAUUGAAACAGCAGAACCAGUAUCUACAAGCAAAUCUACUUGAAUGGACUGUCCAUGAUCAUCACUCAGGUGAGCUUCUUUCUUUGCUCAACAAUGAAUGGGGUUGUAACGCUCAGAACUGUAAGGUCUGGUACGGUCACUUCUUGUACAUUGCAUGCAUUUCCUGAAUUACGGCAAACUCUUGCAAAGUGACAAAUUUUUGUACACUUUUUACAUGUCACUUGCUUCGCUGGACAUUUUGGGUAAUUCGCUAGGUGUGAAAGUGAACCACAGCGAUAGCAUGUCUUACUCUGAGCUGUUCGGUGAAAAUUGGAUACUGUUUGCUUUUGUGUCACCUCAAACUGGGAAGAUCUACGAGGCUUUGUAGACACAUAAGAACGAGCAUGUACAGCCUUGACCACGACAUCGCCUGGGCAUGUCAUUGCUUUAGCCUCAGUGGCCGCCGACUCCAUUUGCCCCGCAAUUGUAAUUGCCUUUUGCAAAGUAAGGUCAGUCUCCAGGAGCAAAUGCUCACGAAUACGAGAGUUGCAUGUUUUCUCUACAAGCUGAUCUCUUAUCAUGUCGUCUGCUAAAGUACCAAAGUCACAGUGCACAAGCAGUCCACGCAGAGCAGCCACAAAUUGGACGACAGACUCACCGUCUCUGACUCUGACUGCGUUGAUGAAAUUUGUUGCGUUCAGCCACCACAUUGAUCUUGGGCACGAAGAACGACUUCAAGGCAGCUAACGCAGCCGCGUAAGUAUCAUUCUCCACUUCCAAAGUGUAGAAGAUGCGUUGGCCCUCUGUACCGAGGCAGUGUAUAAGUAGCGCUCUUUUUCGUUUCUCUGGAAUGUCGUCUUGGCCAAGCGCCAGAAUGUAGUUAUCAAACAUACGAAUCCAGGAGCUGAAUGUCAUAGACGGAUCACCGGGAGUCUCAAGAAAAGCGGGUGGUGGUGGAAGUCCAAGUAAAGCCAUCCUCGUCGCCAAUAUGUUGUAUUUGUAGAUGAAGAAUGUAAUAAGAAUGAAAAUAAGCACGCAACACACUGUAGUUCUGGCGCGGUUCUUUUCUUUUCUUUUUUUCACUUCUCCUACUCUGAACAUUGAGCUCUCUUUUUACUCACACAGCGACACCUGCAGGCAGGAGUAUACUACACAACAGGUUUGAGAUGGAGUAGCUACCUCUGCUUGCACACUUAAAUGUUGAAGACAGGUUUUUGGCUCUGGGGUAAGUGAUAAGUGAAUUCAUCCACCAUUUGUAAGUUUAGAUUCUCCAGCAUUUAAACACUUAUCUAAAGCAGGUGCCUAUGCUAUGUAUUUUAGACUGAUAGAUGUAUUGAAAGACCUUUUAUGUGGGUUCUGUUCUAAAUUGAUACAUAGAAGAUCAGAUGGAUACUUGAUCUAUCCAUCAGAGGUGAGUAGCAGCUCACUCAGUACAUGUACUUGAGUAAAGUGUAAGCGUAGGUAAAUUAGUGAGGGGUUUAUGUUUUUAGCCGUUAACAUUUCCCUUUUUCUAUUUAAUUUUAUUCUAUCAUGUCAAUGUCAGCAUCAGUACUGCUUUGCGAUUUCAUGCCUCUCACUUUCAAGCUUUAUCAUGCAAUAUGGUGACCCACAAGGCUCUGUUUUAGGGCUCUUAUGGUUCUCGCUUUAUUUAUAGCCACAUAAUCUGUAACACAAUGUUGCCUUUCACUUUUAUGCUGAUGAUUUAUAGGUCUGAGACAGAGUCAGUGAUGCAGUUACACAUAGUGGAAGUUUGUGUUAAAAACAUAAAAGUUAGCAUGGGCACAUCUUACUAGUUAAAAUGCUGUAGUUCAUCCAGACCACUUCAGUCAGAUGAGACAGGCUUAGUGCGAACUCUUGCAGUUCAGUUAGUCUAAGAUCAUCUUACAUAGCACCCAAACUCUGAGGAUAUUAAGAAAGUGAGUUUGAUGGGGCUUUUCAAUUCCGUAUGAAAUACAUGUUUGUUUAGAUUAGCAUUAAGGUUUGGAGCUCAUGCUUUGCCGUCUGUUUUGGCCUGUAGUUGUGCUCUUACUCUUCAUUUAGACCAUUUCUAUAAAGCUUUUGCAAACUUCAGUUGCUAAAAAAGAAUGCAGAUGUUUGACUGGAUUGAGAUCUGGGGAGUUUGGAGGCCAGGGUAACACCUUGAAUACUUCAUGUUCCUCAGACCACUCGUGUACAAUGUGUGCAGUGUGGCAUGCUGCAUUGUCCUGCUGAAAGAGGCUACUGCCAUCAUGGAAUACCAUUGCCAUGAAGGGGUGAACCUGGUCCACAACAAAGUUUAGGUAGAUGGUAGAUUUCUAAUUGACAUCCACAUGAAUGCAUGGAUCCAGGGUUUCCCAGUAGAGCACUGCCUUCCACUCCUCCUCCUUCCUACAGUGCAUCCUGGUACAAUCAAGUUUUAAGUUACAUGCUGCAAAUGUACCUGGCUGUCCAGAAAGAAAGCAGGAUUCAUUAGACCAGACAAACUUCUACCAUUACUCCAAGGUCCAGUUCUGACACUCACGUGUCCAUGUAUCCAUUUCAACAAUGGACAGGUGGUUAUUAUGGGCAGUCUACACUUUGCACUAUGUGUUGUGACCCAUUCCUCCCAUUAGCAUCCUUAUAAAUUUCUGUGAUUUGGGCAACAGUAGCCCUUCUGUCUGUUCUGACCAGAUGGGAUAGCCUUUGCUGCCCUUAUACACUGAUGAGCUUUGGCUGCCCUACACUCUGUUGCUGGUUUGUAGUAUGCCCACCCCCUCCCUUAGACCUUUGUCUGUAGGUACUCACCAGUGCUGACCGGGAAUUCCUCAGAGGUCUUGCCAUUUUGUAGGUGUUGUGACCCACUCGUCCGGCCAUAAUGAUCCAUUUGACCCUUGUCAAAGUCACUCAGGUCUUCAUGCCUGCCCAUUUCCCAUCCAACAUGUCAACUAUGAAAUCCAAUUGUUCGCUUACCGUCUAUAUAAUCCCAAACCUUGAAAUGAAGCACUGUUGGAAGACAUUCAACUUUAUUUGCUUCUGUGAGUGUUCAUGUUUUGGCUCAUCUCUUUUUUUGUGUGGGUGUGCUUGAUAUUCCUUUUUUCCGUUUUCUUUGGGAUCCUUUGAAUUAUUGUACACAAUAACAUGUAAAAUGCUAAUUUCACAAUUUCUUGCACUGCAUUUCUGAUGGUUCUGAUACCCUAACAAUGUCAAGGUCAAUGUACACUCUCAGAAAAAAGGUAUGCAACUGUCACUGGGAUGAUACCCCUUGUUUCAUAAUCCAUUCCAAUUAUAGUUUAGUUGUGUUGACCCUACACACCCCAUCUUGUCUCCAGGACUUUUGUUUUAUUGUUCUAUUUGAAAAAUUUAGGUUAUAAACAGAUACAAAUGUAUAUGUAAUGUAAUACAUAUACAGCUAGAUCAUACAUAUGUAUGUAACAAGUGGGAAAAACCUACUUAAUGUACACUUAAUGUACACAGAAGGCCAUAAUUGUUCCUUUGAAGGUACAUAUACAUUGUUUGUAUCUCAAUGGAGAUAAAUAUAUCUACACAGUACCUUUAUUUCUGACAGUAUGCUUGAUGCAACAUUGAUGCAAUUUGGGGAUGGGUAGUAUGAAGACACAUGUUCCUCAACACACAAUCACAUCUUAUCUAACAAUGUUUUCUCUAAUUUAACAGCCCUUCCUCACUUAAGCGGCAAUGCCCAUAUAGGCCAUUCAACAAAGCAGAGAACACAGCAAGUUCUCUUUCAGAUUUAGGGCUUCCGGGACUGCUGAUGCUGAUAAUUCGUGGUGUCUACAUAAAAGCAGAUGGUCAUUUCAGCUCAUACCAGUUUAUCAAUACGUGUGUCCUGGACUCAAUCCUGGCUGCUUUCCAUAUUUGUUACAUCAAAUACCCAAAUGUGAAGUCUCUCUUAGAAUCAAACGCAUCUCUUGGAGUUAUCAUGAAUUAUUUAAACUCAGAAAAGUUUGAUGAUGCAAAAGCUCUCUGGUUGAGGCAGCUCAGGUGUUUGCCUAAAAAUAAAAUACUUGAUUGUAGAUGUCAUGUGCAAGAUCAUUUUCCAAUGUUUGCUAAACUGGUAUGUGCUGAAGUAGGUUACCGCCAAGAAACCCCCAAUGGCAAUCCCAUAUAUGAAACAACACUGAGCAAAUUUCGAGCACUUGGUGAUGUGAAGGCUUUGGGGCAUGCGGAUGAUCCUGCUCUCAUUCUGGUGCAUCGAGUUGUUCAGUUAAACCUUCCUGACCUUCCUAAACCACCACUGUGUGUUAAAGAUGACCACCAAAGGAUCUUUGAGCUUCAGUUUCUGCUGCUGGGUGAAGGAACUCACAUGCUCAUGUGUUUCAACUUCUCAAAGAACAUUUGGAUUCUCUAUGAUGAUGACCCGGCUCGCAGGUCUUUUCGGCAUUUCAAGUUUGAAGAGGAACUUGACUGUUAUAUGAUCUGCCUAGCUGGCUAUGUCAGUACAACCCGAGCUGAAGAACAUAACCAUGGCAUUCCUGAGACUGGAGCAGGAGCACAGCCCUUCGAAUCAGAUUCAUCAAGACAGCAAAAUAUUCCUGAGGAGUCUGUGGAUGAUGUACUGAUGAUGUUGGGAGAUCUAUCCUGUGGUACCUCUGAAUAACAACACUACUUGUACUAAGCUCUGAUCUCAGAAUAAGCUUUAAAUGCCAUGUAAUCAAAUCGAAUGCAUGCAUGUUUAUCUUUAUGAACAGAAUGUAAGCUGUGGUGCUCAAUUUCAUGCAAAAGAGCAUUAUAAUAUUUCCUGCUAUGCAUCGGUUGUUACCUUAUUUCACAAAGAUAACUGACUUUUUUUUACAUUUUUUUUUACAUUUUUUACAUUAGCCUUAAUUUUGCAUUGUGAUGUGGUCAUGAAGUAUUGUCUGGUGGUAUGGCCAGCUACUGGAGUGGGCCCCAAGUUACUCUUUAAAAAGUUUACUUGUUAGCUUUGAUUGUAGCAUAUCAACAUGUAGCAACAGCAUGCUUUCAUCAUAUGCAGUAAUUGGACAGAGGAAUGUUAUUUUGCUACAAUUUCUGUACUCCAGGACGUUGUUUAUUAAAUAAAAUAGUCACUACCAA